This 413-nucleotide ribosomal RNA is filed under the name uncultured bacterium. Its description in RNAcentral is "bacterial SSU rRNA". It matches the Rfam family "Bacterial small subunit ribosomal RNA", at positions 505 to 916 of the family's 1533-position model. The record is from RNAcentral.
GUGUCAGCCGCCGCGGUAAUACGUAGGGGGCGAGCGUUGUCCGGAAUUACUGGGCGUAAAGGGUGCGUAGGUGGCUUGUUAAGUUGGAUGUGAAAUCCCCGGGCUCAACUUGGGUGGUGCAUUCAAAACUGGCGAGCUAGAGUGCAGGAGAGGGAAGCGGAAUUCCUAGUGUAGCGGUGAAAUGCGUAGAUAUUAGGAGGAACACCAGUGGCGAAGGCGGCUUUCUGGACUGUAACUGACACUGAGGCACGAAAGCGUGGGGAGCAAACAGGAUUAGAUACCCUGGUAGUCCACGCUGUAAACGAUGAAUACUAGGUGUAGGGGGUAUGAACUCCCCCUGUGCCGCAGCUAACGCAAUAAGUAUUCCGCCUGGGGAGUACGGCCGCAAGGUUGAAACUCAAAUGAAUUGGCGG